ACUCCUACGGGAGGCAGCAGUGGGGAAUAUUGCACAAUGGGCGCAAGCCUGAUGCAGCAACGCCGCGUGAGGGACGACGGCCUUCGGGUUGUAAACCUCUUUUAGUAGGGAAGAAGCGAAAGUGACGGUACCUGCAGAAAAAGCACCGGCUAACUACAUGCCAGCAGCCGCGGUAAUACGUAGGGUGCAAGCGUUAUCCGGAAUUAUUGGGCGUAAAGAGCUCGUAGGCGGUUUGUCGCGUCUGCUGUGAAAACUGGAGGCUCAACCUCCAGCCUGCAGUGGGUACGGGCAGACUAGAGUGCGGUAGGGGAGAUUGGAAUUCCUGGUGUAGCGGUGGAAUGCGCAGAUAUCAGGAGGAACACCGAUGGCGAAGGCAGAUCUCUGGGCCGUAACUGACGCUGAGGAGCGAAAGCAUGGGGAGCGAACAGGAUUAGAUACCCUGGUAGUCCAUGCCGUAAACGUUGGGAACUAGAUGUAGGGACCAUUCCACGGUUUCUGUGUCGCAGCUAACGCAUUAAGUUCCCCGCCUGGGGAGUACGGCCGCAAGGCUAAAACUCAAAGGAAUUGACGGGGGCCCGCACAAGCGGCGGAGCAUGCGGAUUAAUUCGAUGCAACGCGAAGAACCUUACCAAGGCUUGACAUAUACCGGAAAAGUUCAGAAAUGUUCUCCCCGCAAGGUCGGUAUACAGGUGGUGCAUGGUUGUCGUCAGCUCGUGUCGUGAGAUGUUGGGUUAAGUCCCGCAACGAGCGCAACCCUCGUUCUAUGUUGCCAGCACGUAAUGGUGGGAACUCAUAGGAGACUGCCGGGGUCAACUCGGA
Molecule: ribosomal RNA, 819 nt
Filed under: uncultured Actinomycetes bacterium
Lineage: Bacteria; Bacillati; Actinomycetota; Actinomycetes
Description: bacterial SSU rRNA
Rfam family: Bacterial small subunit ribosomal RNA
Source: RNAcentral